This 71-nucleotide transfer RNA is filed under the name Elusimicrobium minutum Pei191. RNAcentral describes it as "tRNA-Gly (TCC) (tRNA-Gly-TCC-1-1)". It matches the Rfam family "tRNA". Rfam says of the family: Transfer RNA (tRNA) molecules are approximately 80 nucleotides in length. The record is from Rfam by way of RNAcentral. RNAcentral also lists the same sequence under 1 other name. Lineage: Bacteria; Pseudomonadati; Elusimicrobiota; Elusimicrobia; Elusimicrobiales; Elusimicrobiaceae.
GCGGGCGUAGUUCAAUGGCAGAACCUUAGUUUUCCAAACUAAUGACGUGGGUUCGAUUCCCAUCGCCCGCU